GAUGAACGCUGGCGGCGUGCCUAAUACAUGCAAGUCGAGCGAACAGACGAGGAGCUUGCUCCUCUUACGUUAGCGGCGGACGGGUGAGUAACACGUGGAUAACCUACCUAUAAGACUGGGAUAACUUCGGGAAACCGGAGCUAAUACCGGAUAAUAUAUUGAACCGCAUGGUUCAAUAGUGAAAGACGGUUUUGCUGUCACUUAUAGAUGGAUCCGCGCCGCAUUAGCUAGUUGGUAAGGUAACGGCUUACCAAGGCAACGAUGCGUAGCCGACCUGAGAGGGUGAUCGGCCACACUGGAACUGAGACACGGUCCAGACUCCUACGGGAGGCAGCAGUAGGGAAUCUUCCGCAAUGGGCGAAAGCUUGACGGAGCAACGCCGCGUGAGUGAUGAAGGUCUUCGGAUCGUAAAACUCUGUUAUUAGGGAGGAACAAAUGUGUAAGUAACUAUGCACGUCUUGACGGUACCUAAUCAGAAAGCCACGGCUAACUACGUG
This 497-nucleotide ribosomal RNA is filed under the name uncultured bacterium. RNAcentral's name for it is "partial 16S ribosomal RNA". It matches the Rfam family "Bacterial small subunit ribosomal RNA", at positions 28 to 507 of the family's 1533-position model. The record is from RNAcentral.